GUGGGGAAUAUUGCACAAUGGGCGAAAGCCUGAUGCAGCAACGCCGCGUGAGGGACGACGGCCUUCGGGUUGUAAACCUCUUUUAGUAGGGAAGAAGCGAAAGUGACGGUACCUGCAGAAAAAGCACCGGCUAACUACGUGCCAGCAGCCGCGGUAAUACGUAGGGUGCAAGCGUUAUCCGGAAUUAUUGGGCGUAAAGAGCUCGUAGGCGGUCUGUUGCGUCUGCUGUGAAAACUGGAGGCUCAACCUCCAGCCUGCAGUGGGUACGGGCAGACUAGAGUGCGGUAGGGGAGAUUGGAAUUCCUGGUGUAGCGGUGGAAUGCGCAGAUAUCAGGAGGAACACCGAUGGCGAAGGCAGAUCUCUGGGCCGUAACUGACGCUGAGGAGCGAAAGCGUGGGGAGCGAACAGGAUUAGAUACCCGGGUAGUCC
RNAcentral lists this ribosomal RNA (430 nucleotides) under uncultured bacterium. RNAcentral describes it as "partial 16S ribosomal RNA". It matches the Rfam family "Bacterial small subunit ribosomal RNA", at positions 354 to 796 of the family's 1533-position model. The record is from RNAcentral.